This 377-nucleotide ribosomal RNA is filed under the name uncultured bacterium. Its description in RNAcentral is "bacterial SSU rRNA". It matches the Rfam family "Bacterial small subunit ribosomal RNA", at positions 523 to 898 of the family's 1533-position model. The record is from RNAcentral.
AAACGUAGGAGGCGAGCGUUAUCCGGAUUUACUGGGCGUAAAGCGCGUGCAGGCGGUGAUGCAAGUUGGGCGUGAAAUCUCCUGGCUUAACUGGGAGGGGUCGUCCAAAACUGCAUGACUUGAGGGCAGGAGAGGGAAGCGGAAUUUCCGGUGUAGCGGUAAUAUGCGCAGAUAUCGGAAGGAACACCAGUGGCGAAGGCGGCUUCCUGGUCUGUACCUGACGCUGAGACGCGAAAGCCAGGGGAGCGAACGGGAUUAGAUACCCCGGUAGUCCUGGCCGUAAACGAUGGAUACUAGGUGUGGGCGGUAUUGACCCCGCCUGUGCCGAAGCCAACGCGUUAAGUAUCCCGCCUGGGGAGUACGACCGCAAGGUUAAA